Molecule: long non-coding RNA, 778 nt
Filed under: Homo sapiens (human)
Lineage: Eukaryota; Metazoa; Chordata; Mammalia; Primates; Hominidae
Description: HSALNT0351956
Source: RNAcentral
ACUGAUAUGGAAGUGCUGGGAAGGGAAGAGCGUGGUCCCUUUAAAUGAUAGGGAAGGGGAGAAGGGAAGUGCUGGGUAGAGGAGGGCACGGUCCCUGGCUAGGGCUCCACCCCCACGGACCUAGGUAAGGACAGGCACUUCUGCUUUCAUGCCGAAAUGUAGCAUUUUCCAAGACCACCCUGGCCUGCCAUGCCCCCAUCAUGGGCCUAUAAAAACCAGAGACCUUAGCAAGGCAGGGACGCAAGCAGCUGGACAUCAUAAGGAACACAUCAGCAGAAGAAGACACAAGCAGCUGGUCAUCGAAAGCACACUGGCGGAAGAGCAGGCCAACAGACACCUGCAGGCCAUCAGGCCAUCGAUGGAGUCUCGCUCUGUCGCCCAGGCUGGAGUGCAGUGGCGCGAUCUCCGCUCACUGCAAGCUCCGCCUCCCGGGUUGACGCCAUUCUCCUGCCUCAGCUUCCCGAGUACUGGGACUACAGGCGCCUGCCACCACGCCCAGCCAGCACUGGGAUUCCAUCCUCAUCGAGCUCCUUGACACGCAGGUCGGCUUCACUGUGGGCAAGCACAAUCAUCAUUUGCAGACAAAAGGAGAACCCAGUUAUUUGAUCUUGAUUAUAAGAUGUGACAAUUAUCUCUCAAAUAUUACAGAUUUUAUGUCAUAAAUUGCUCUGGGGCACUGCAACCUAGCAAGUCCUCCUGAGAGGCCCAUCUAGCCUGCUGCCCAGGCCACAACCAACCUUGCCACUAGCCUUUUCAUCAAUACAAAGGACAACUAUUU